This 48-nucleotide non-coding RNA is filed under the name Trichobilharzia regenti. The record is from RNAcentral. Lineage: Eukaryota; Metazoa; Platyhelminthes; Trematoda; Strigeidida; Schistosomatidae.
AUCCAGCCGACGAGUCUCAAGUAGAACGAAAUGCGCAUCCCGAUGGAU